GGAGUUAUAGGGAGGGUUAUAUGGAGUAAUAGGAGGGGUUAUAGGGAGGGUUAUAUGGAGUAAUAGGAGGAGUUAUAGGGAGGGUUAUAUGGAGUAAUAGGAGGGGUUAUAGGAAGGGUUAUAUGGAGUAAUAGGAGGGGUUAUAGGGAGGGUUAUAUGGAGUAAUAGGAGGGGUUAUAGGGAGGGUUAUAUGGAGUAAUAGGAGG
Molecule: non-coding RNA, 206 nt
Organism: Pelobates cultripes (western spadefoot toad)
Lineage: Eukaryota; Metazoa; Chordata; Amphibia; Anura; Pelobatidae
Source: the annotation of a GenBank genome assembly